RNAcentral lists this ribosomal RNA (252 nucleotides) under uncultured prokaryote. RNAcentral's name for it is "partial 16S ribosomal RNA". It matches the Rfam family "Bacterial small subunit ribosomal RNA", at positions 524 to 776 of the family's 1533-position model. The record is from RNAcentral.
UACGUAGGGGGCAAGCGUUGUCCGGAAUUACUGGGCGUAAAGCGCACGCAGGCGGUUCGUUAAGUCGGAUGUGAAAGAUCGGGGCUCAACCCCGGUUUGCGUUCGAUACUGGCGGACUGGAGUGUCGGAGAGGGAAGUGGAAUUCCCGGUGUAGCGGUGAAACGCGUAGAUAUCGGGAGGAACACCAGUGGCGAAGGCGGCUUCCUGGCCGACAACUGACGCUCAUGUGCGAAAGCUGGGGGAGCAAACGGG